Acanthaster planci (crown-of-thorns starfish) is the source of this 3005-nucleotide long non-coding RNA. The record is from RefSeq and is a predicted model, not a curated record. NCBI's taxonomy places the organism in Eukaryota, Metazoa, Echinodermata, Asteroidea, Valvatida, Acanthasteridae.
UAAAUAGCGCCCUCAAGUGCUAAAUCAACGCGAUUUUUUUACAACACGGCCGGAGGCGCGACAUUGUAACUUCAUGAAUUUUGGUGAUUACUACCGGUAUCAGUGGAAGUCAAGGAGAGAAAAGAUGGCAAGACUCCAUCUGAGAUUUGCUCUUGGCUAGACCAGAACUUGCCACUGGAAAUUUGACAGUCAAAUUGAGAGUUCAUGGGUCCAUUCUUGGCAUACAUCUAGCAAUGCAGCUUCACAUACAGCAGGUGAAAGUACUGGAAAUGGAAAGCUAGUAUGGUGUAAUGUGUACACCUUGCAUGCAGCUAAUUACUGACACCGGGUACAUGUACAGAGACUGAAGAAUCAGGUUGUUGCUGCCUGCGGCACCUGAAUCCAAUGACCCAGGAAAUACAGAACAACGGAGCAAGAGGAUACAGGAAGUCCGACGUUCCGUGAGAUGAAGAAUCCCCCGUGGUCAUUGUGGGAUCUCUGUUCUUUGUAUGAGGUACAGUUCAGGCGUUAGAUUGAAAAUUAGUAACGACUGUUUCAACUGUACUUGUUUAGAAAGAGGGUAUUACUGGAUGCAGAUAACUUUGUAUUUCAUGGAGACUUUUGAAUUUUGGGAUGCAAGGCUUUAAAAUAAUGCCGGAUGUGGCAGAGAAGAUACUCAAUACUUCCUUGAAAUGAAUGAGCAUGCAUAUUUGUAAAUUUUAAUGAAGUACAUGUUCAUGUAUAUGGAAAUGCUUGAUAGUUUGGGGGUUUUGUUUCCUUUGUUUUGGUUUGCAUUUCUGCAGAACAAGAUUCAGAUGUAAAAUUCUUUAAGAAUUCUUGUGGUAGAUUUCAAGGAUUGAUGAGACUAAUGAUAUUUUUGCCAUAAACUUUGCCACACCCUCUUGAAACAAACAAAAUAGCCUGUUUAGUCAGCUCAAACAUUUGUCUAAAAAUCUCAUUGGGGGGAGUUGUAAUUCAGAGAUUGGGUUUGCAGGCUGAGUGAGCCACUAAAAAUGUCCACAUUUCAACACCCCUACGAAAGCUUUACCCUUACUGCUAACUACAAAUACCAGUAUGAACAUUAUGCUGUCAGGCCUGACUGUCACAUGUACAUGUAAGUAAUCAUGUCUUAGCAAAGACGUCUAUUUUAAGAGGAAAACGAUACAGAAAUUGAGACAGCCUGCAAGUGCAUAUCGGUGUCUGUUACUGAUGAAUUUUCUCAGGCGUUUCAGGAAAUGUAGUGGCUAUUUCAUGUGCAAAUAAAGCAGGAGGAAGCCCUCUGUAAGUAUAACUGAAAAUAGGACAACCCCAAAAUAGAACUGUGGUUGUAAGAGAAGUCAGGAGGUGUACAGUCUGCACCAGUCUGACUUAAUCCCGUCUCCCCCACCACAUCCCAAACUCCACAUCCCCCCCCCGAGGUAUUCUGUGAUGGUUUCUCUCACCAUACUGGUACAUGUGAACCAUGUCUACAAUGUAUGUCCAAGGUCAGGCACAGAUACAGAGGGGGUCAACCCCCCCAACACACACACAAUUGAAAUAAACACGAAAUAAAAAUUUCAGUAGCAAUAAAAAGAUGACAUCUUACAGUUACUUGUAUAAGGUGAAGUGUAUCACCAGUGUGUAAUGCAUUGCCUAUGUGUCUGCCUAUCUGCUACAAAUGGACUUUAAAAAUCUGAUCCCACUUGAGCAUGCUUGGGUUUUUUUCACAAGCCUUUGGGCCAAACACCGAGUACACAGUGUUAUAAUACACGUCGGGGGCAGGGUAAUAAUCCCAAGUUAAAAUUGAGUUACAGUCACUCUAGCUUCACACGUACAUGAUACAUAAUAUUACAUGUAGCCAUAUGCUCUGUUCCUGUUUGCACAUUUUUGUGUACUCUCAACAGAAGUCACCUUUAUCUUGUGCUUUUUUGUCAUCCAGAGAGAGAAGUCAAUAAAGAAAUCUCAAAUAAAUUUGACUGCCAACGAAGAUGAUCACUGUCAAUAAAAUCUCCUCAAUUUGGUGUUCCUUGACCCCUCCCCCUUCAACAUUUACUACAAAAUAUUGAUAUCUGUUCAGGGAAAACAAGUUCUUGUUUAUAGUGCAAAUUAGCUGACUUAAGAGACCAUGACUGUUGAUUAGAAAUAUAAAUAUAUAAAGGAAAAUGUUUCCAUCAAGCAUAAAAAAUUUACAUGUUCAUGUAUCUUGGUAAUUGUUUAGAUCUGUUAAAAUCAUCAUCAUCUGAAUGAUACAAUCCUUUUUCGUCAUCAUAAUGUCCUUCAAAUAUAUGUUUAGAUGAUCUUUGUAAAUACUGAAAUACCUGUGUAGGGUUUAUGAACUCAGCAUGUGGAUGAAUGUUACUCUCCAUAUGCACAGGUUGUCUGCUUCUCGUUCCGGUCAAUUGUUCCACAGUUUAUAAUUCUUACACGCUCAUCUGAGACAUUCAGGCAGACUAUACAAGUAUUUACCAUACCAAUUCUUCAAAAGUCAAGUUAAAACAAUGUUUGAUAGGAUACAUACAUCCUUAGUAAAAUAAAUAGCAUUUCAAGCAGCAGGGGAAAAGGACCGCAGGCAGUUUGUAUCAUGUUCCAGGUGAAUAAUUGAUGGUUACGCAUCUCACUAGUGUUGAGUUUAAAAAGAGUGGGGCUGCCUUGCUCCAUUUAGAGUGAAAUGCGAUCUGACAAGGGGAAUAUUAGUUGAUGGAAUUAAUGACGUGGUUUUGAUCUGACCAGAUGGGACCAUGCAAUUUAUGAGCCUACCUGCUGGGGUUGACUAGGUUAACUCGCAAGUGCAUGUUGGUGUUGAAAUGCCUUUUUGUUUCAUAAUUGCAGCCAUGAAAUUACACGAUAAAGGGACUACCAUGAAUCACGUUUUCAUAUGUAGUCAGCAGGGUUCUAGAUGUAAUUUACAUGUAUUUUGUUUCAUUUAACUGUGUGCUCAGUUGCGUUGUAUUUAUCAUAAUUCCUGCUGAAGCUGUUGAAUUUAACAAUUUAAAUGUCUGUGAACUUUGUGUUUCUUUUGCAUAAAUUCGGGUUCUUAGAUUAGCUGA